CUCCUUUGACGUUAGCGGCGGACGGGUGAGUAACACGUGGGUAACCUACCUAUAAGACUGGGAUAACUUCGGGAAACCUGAGCUAAUACCGGAUAAUAUUUCGAACCGCAUGGUUCGAUAGUUAAAGGUGGUUUUUGCUAUCACUUAUAGAUGGACCCGCGCCGUAUUAGCUAGUUGGUAAGGUAACGGCUUACCAAGGCGACGAUACGUAGCCGACCUGAGAGGGUGAUCGGCCACACUGGAACUGAGACACGGGUCCAGACUCCUACGGGAGGCAGCAGUC
This 283-nucleotide ribosomal RNA is filed under the name uncultured Staphylococcus sp. Its description in RNAcentral is "partial 16S ribosomal RNA". It matches the Rfam family "Bacterial small subunit ribosomal RNA", at positions 81 to 355 of the family's 1533-position model. The record is from RNAcentral. Lineage: Bacteria; Bacillati; Bacillota; Bacilli; Caryophanales; Staphylococcaceae.